Molecule: long non-coding RNA, 1171 nt
Organism: Oncorhynchus tshawytscha (Chinook salmon)
Lineage: Eukaryota; Metazoa; Chordata; Actinopteri; Salmoniformes; Salmonidae
Exons: 2
Source: RefSeq, a predicted model, not a curated record
GAAACAUAGAAAACAAAACAUAGAAUGCCCACCCCACAUCACACCCUGACCUAACCAAAUAGAGAAAUAAAACAUCUCUCUAAGGUCAGGGCGUGACAACUAAGGGCACGAUUCAAUCUGUAGCGAUCAUGCAGAAUAUCAGCGUUGUAAAGCAGUUCGCAAUUAAAAGGGAAAUCUGUCGUUGCUACAUGCAUUUUUGGACUUAUAAAUUCAUUAUACAUACCAUACCCAUUGAUCCUUCAAGAAUAUAACUUAUAAAUGCCUCACAAAUAAAGGCCAAGUUCACAAUUUGUGUGAUUUAUUUUUCAUCAGGGUUCUGCAGCACCCUCAGCAGACCUACUUCACCCGGCUAUGUGCCUAUAGGCUCUGGGCCUAUAUAACACUCAAUACUGUAUAUCUGUAUCUAAUUAAAGAGUGAUAAUAUUAUAUUUCCCUGUGAUAAAGGAGGGCGCUAGCAGCACUGACUCUGGUAAUGUUAUUCAAAAGUAUUGCCAGUUAUUUUAUUGUAUAUUUCUUAAGUACAUAGUGAAUGCAGUUGAAACUAUGGAAGUGCUGAUGUUAGUUCUGCUGUUCCAGGUCAAGGCAGCAACGAACGUCUAGACAGGGAGGCAAUGCUGGCUAAUGGAGGUAAUAUAAUUUAUCAUUGUUAUUCUUUUUUUAUACAAUCGUGGCCUCCCAUCUCAUUCUUAAAAGUUGCAGUUUUUUUUAUGUUGAUUGUAUAACAAACCGUAUCUGAGCACUUAACAGAUUUGGUGCCAGCAGCCAUACCACCCUGCAUCCAACUACAGGCCUUGACACUACAAACCAUAUAUUAACCAACAUCCCCAAACAUCCCAACAAAUAUCAACAUCGAGAGACUACAUGGACAUGUAACAAUAACACACCACUACUAUGUAUUUCUUUAGGUUCAUGAAAUGGGUCCUUGUCCACCCACGACUCUGACAUUAAAGUGACUGACAGCGCAUCCAAACCAAAGAACGUGUGAUUCUGUUUUGUUAAUCAACAAACACUGUGAAUCUGGAUGUAUUCCUUUUCAAGCAUUUACCAUUCUGUUCAGAUAAGCUUGGAAAUGAAGGGAUUAGUUUAUGAUCGUUUUGAUCUUUUGAAAAUCGGAGUGGGAUUCCUUGUCAGAAUAAAAUGUGCCAAAAUAAAUGUGUUUUCACAUGAAUAA